RNAcentral lists this ribosomal RNA (469 nucleotides) under uncultured bacterium. Its description in RNAcentral is "partial 16S ribosomal RNA". It matches the Rfam family "Bacterial small subunit ribosomal RNA", at positions 28 to 507 of the family's 1533-position model. The record is from RNAcentral.
GAUGAACGCUGGCGGCGUACUUAACACAUGCCAGUCGAACGGUGAACACGGAGCUUGCUCUGUGGGAUCAGUGGCGAACGGGUGAGUAACACGUGAGCAACCUGCCCCUGACUCUGGGAUAAGCGCUGGAAACGGCGUCUAAUACUGGAUAUGUGACGUGACCGCAUGGUCUGCGUUUGGAAAGAUUUUUCGGUUGGGGAUGGGCUCGCGGCCUAUCAGCUUGUUGGUGAGGUAAUGGCUCACCAAGGCGUCGACGGGUAGCCGGCCUGAGAGGGUGACCGGCCACACUGGGACUGAGACACGGCCCAGACUCCUACGGGAGGCAGCAGUGGGGAAUAUUGCACAAUGGGCGCAAGCCUGAUGCAGCAACGCCGCGUGAGGGAUGACGGCCUUCGGGUUGUAAACCUCUUUUAGCAGGGAAGAAGCGAAAGUGACGGUACCUGCAGAAAAAGCGCCGGCUAACUACGUG